This is a non-coding RNA of Oryza meridionalis, 203 nucleotides long. The record is from Rfam. NCBI's taxonomy places the organism in Eukaryota, Viridiplantae, Streptophyta, Magnoliopsida, Poales, Poaceae.
AAUAAACCCUAGAUUUCCAUGUCCAAUGUUUGACUGUCCGUCUUAUUUAAAAAAUAUUAUGUAAAAAAUAAAAAAAACAAGUCAAGUAUAAAGUAUUAAUCAUAUUUUAUUAUCUAACAACAAUGAAAAUACUAAUUAUAAAAAAAAUUUAAAUAAGACGAAUAGUUAAACGUUGGAUACAGAAACUUAGGGUUUGUCUUUUU